GCUGUUCUCAAAAGGAGACCACACAUCUCUCUCAGAGUCUUUGCCAUUUUGUUUUUGUGUGGGCUGGCAGGCCUCAGCAUGCUGGAAUAAUAAACAUGCUUGCUGAUUGCAUACGCGCAUGCUGGUCUUGUUGGGACUUUUCCAGGUCCGUCACGGCCACAAGCUGCUUCAAGCUAAAACUACGGACAUGGACUUCUGAACCUGGGAAUGCUAGUAUCCUCCUGUGGCCCAGAGCCUCCUCCCUCUUACCUGUCAUCUUAAGGUGGCUCCCUCCUGACUCUACAAGGCUGGCCUGAAUAGAAGAAUAGAAGCACACCUUUAGGAGCAAGCAGAGGGUCAGAUGCUACUACAAGGGGGCCUUCCAGUAGAGCAUGGUGCUUAACAAGUUAAGAGAAAUUCAAGACACAGCAAUGAUUCAGUGUGCUUCCCACUUCCAUCCCAGGGCAAUCUAAGAAUUUUAACACAGCACAAGACAUUCCUCUUAAAGUACCUUGAGUUGGUUCAUUUGACUUUCCUGAGGGAAAUUAUGAGCCUAGCAGAGUUAAUCUGUAUGUACUGACCACUUAAAUAAAAAGCAUCACCAAGGACAGAUAAA
Long non-coding RNA from Arvicola amphibius (Eurasian water vole), 595 nucleotides. RefSeq lists it as uncharacterized. The record is from RefSeq and is a predicted model, not a curated record. The transcript has 3 exons. Lineage: Eukaryota; Metazoa; Chordata; Mammalia; Rodentia; Cricetidae.